Molecule: transfer RNA, 74 nt
Filed under: uncultured Conexibacteraceae bacterium
Lineage: Bacteria; Bacillati; Actinomycetota; Thermoleophilia; Solirubrobacterales; Conexibacteraceae
Description: tRNA-Leu
Source: RNAcentral
GUCGACGUAGUCGAGGCCGCGGCCGCCGGUGUAGAUCUGGCGCGGCCGGGAGAUCUUCUGCUCGCCGUCGAUGC